GCGAUCUCAACUCAGGUGAGAACACCCACUCAGUUUAAGCAUAUAAUUAAGCAGAGAAAAAGAAACUUACAAGGAUUCCCCUAGUAGCAGCAAGCGAAUCGGGAAGAACCCAGCAUGAAAAUCGGGCGACAGCGUCACCUGAAUUGUAGUCUGUAGAAGCGUCCUCAGUGGCAGACCUGGGCCAAGUCCCUUGGAAGGGGGUGCCUGAGAGGGUGACAACCCCGUCAUCCCGGGACCUUGCCGCACCAUGAGGCGUUGUCACAGAGUCGGGUUGUUUGGGAAUGUAGCCCUAAUUUGGUGGUAAAUUCUGUCCAAGGCUAAAUAUGGGUGAGAGACCGAUAGCGAACAAGUACCACGAGGGAAAGAUGAAAAGGAAUUUGAAAAGAGAGUUAAAGAGUGCUUGAAAUUGCUGGGAGAGAAGCGGAUGGAGGCUCUCAAUGCGUCUUGGUUGGAUGUGGAAUGGCUCAGGCUGGUCCGCCAUUCGACUUGAGGUGCAAUCCAACACGGGCUGCUGCAUCGUCACAAGCAUGGGCCGAUUGUUGCCUGUUGGUUUUCCACUGUGGUGGUUGAGGAAUGAAGCAUGCGCCCUUGCGGCAGGCCGUGUGCACCUGCGCGCUCAUGGUGUUAGUGGGCGAGCUUUCCAUUCGACCUAUCUUGAAACACGGACCAAGGAGUCUAACAUGUGUGCGAGUCAGCGAGUUUGAAAACCUACGAGGUGCAAGGAACCUGACGGGCAAGAUCCCCUCUCUAGGGGGGUGCAUCGUCAACCGACCUUGAGCUUAUGUGAAGGGUUCAAGUGCGGGCACACCUAUUGGGACCCGAAAGAUGGUGAACUAUGCUUGACCAGGGCGAAGCUAGAGGAAACUCUAGUGGAGGCUAGUAGCGAUACUGAUGUGCAAAUCAUUUUUCUCACUUGGGUAUAGGGGCAAAAGACUAAUUGAACCAUCUAGUAGCUGGUCUCCUCCAAAUUUUCCCUCAGGAUAGCUAGAGCUCACGUUCGAGUUUUAUCGGGUAAAGUAAAUGAUUAGAGGCAUCGAGGGCGUAACGCCCUCAACCUAUUCUCAAACUUUAAAUAGGUAAGAGGGUGCGGCUUCUCCAUUGAGCCGCGUCGUGGAAUCGAGAGCUCCAAGUGGGCCAUUUUUGGUAAGUAGAACUGGCGAUGCGGGAUGAGCUGAAAGUCAAGUUACGGUGCCAGAUUGCGCACUAACCUAGAUCCCACAAAGGGUGUUGGUUGAUUAAAGCAGCAGGACAGUGGUCAUGGAAGUCGAAAUAUGCUAAGGAGUGUGUAACAACUCACCUACCGAAUCAACUAGCCCCGAAAAUGGAUGGCGCUAAAGCGCGCAACUUAUACUCGUCCGUCAGAGAAAUUGCCUGGCUCUGAUGAGUAGGAGGAUGCAGGGGUCGUUGAGAAACCUCGGGCGUUAGCUUGGGUGGAUCAGCCCCAGUGGAGAUCUUGGUGGUAGUAGCAAAUAUUCAAAUGAGAACUUUGAAGGCUGAAGUGGGGAAAGGUUCCAUGUGAACAACACUUGGACAUGGGUUAGUCAAUCCUAAGAGAUGGGGAAGCCUUGUAUCAAGGGUGCACUCUGCGUGAGCAUCGAAUGGGAAUCGGGUUAAUAUUCCUGAAUCGGACAUGGCGACGGACGACAACUUUAGGAAAUCCGGAGAUGUCGUCGGGGUCCCGGGAAGACUUAUCUUUUCUUUUUAAUAGCUUGCCCACCCUGGAAUCAGUUCACCUGGAGAUAGGGUCUAGCAGCUGGAAGAGCACCGCACAUCUUGUAGUGUCUGGUGUGCCCUCGGCGGCCCUUGAAAAUCUGGAGGACUGAGUACCAUUCAUGCCCAGUUGUACUCAUAACCGCAUCAGGUCUCCAAGGUGAACAACCUCUGGUCAAUAAAACAAUGUAGGUAAGGGAAGUCGGUAAAACGGAUCCGUAACUUCGGGAAAAGGAUUGGCUAUGAGGGCUUGGCAUAGGGGUCUGCAUCCUCAACUCGUGGGCUAUCGACAGUCUGCCCGAGCUGCUCUCGCAGCGAUGGCGGGCAGUCGCGUGAUGAUUGGGCUACAGGCGUGGAAUGCCCCUAUCAGUGGCUUUUCCCUAGGCGUCGAAUAGUCGACUCAGAACUAGUAAGGACAAGGGGAAUCUGACUAUUCAAUUAAAAAUAAUCAUUGCGAUGGUCCCUGCAGAUGCUGACGCAAUUUGAUUUCUGCCCAGUGCUCUGAAUGUCAAGGUGAAGAAAUUCAACCAAGCGCGGGUAAACGACGGGGUAACUAUGACUCUCUUAAGGUAGCCAAAUGCCUCAUCAUUUAAUUAGUGAUGCACAUGAAUAGAUUAAUGAGAUUCCCACUGUCCAUCUACUAUCUAGCGAAACCACAGCCAAGGGAAUGGGCUUGGCAGAAUCAGUGGGGAAAGAAGACCCUGUUGAGCUUGACUCUAGUCCGACUUUGUGAAAUGACUUGAGAGGUGUAGAAUAAGUGGGAGUCGUUCUCGGCGUAAGUGAAAUACCAGUACUUUUAACGUUAUUUUACUUGUUUCGUGGGGCAAAGAUGGGGCACUGCCCCUGUUUUUGGCCUUAAGGCACGUUUUGGCGGGUCAAUUCAGGUGGAAGACAUUGUCAGGUGGGGAGUUUGGCUGGGGCGGCACAUCUAUUUAAAGAUAACGCAGGUGUCCUAAGAUGAGCUCAACGAUAAUAGAAAUAUCGUGUGGAACAAAAGGGUAAAAGCUCAUUUGAUUUUUAUUUUCAGUAUGAAUACAAACUGCGAAAGCGUGGCCUAUUGAUCCUUUAGAUUUUCAGAAUUUGAAGCUAGAGGUGUCAGAAAAGUUACCACAGGGAUAACUGGCUUGUGGCAGCCAAGCGUUUAUAGCGACGUUUCUUUUUGAUCCUUCGAUGUCGGCUCUUCCUAUAAUUGUGAAGUAUAAUUCACCAAGUGUUGGAUUGUUCACCCACCAAUAGGGAACGUGAGUUGGGUUUAGACCAUCGUGAGACAAGUUAGUUUUACCCUACUAAUGAACCACACCGUAAUAGUAAUUCAACUUAGUAUGAGAGGAACCACUGAUUCACACGAUUGGUCAUUGCGCUUGGUUGAAAACCCAGUGGCGCGAAGCUAACGUGUGUCGGAUUAUGACUGAACGCCUCUAAGUUAGAAUCCACGCUAGAAGCGGUGCAUGUCACUCUUCCACUGUAUCGCAACCUUCAGUAGGGGCAUCGCUUUUUUGCCCACAGGGGCCUGUGUCAUUUUCAAUCCACAACCGUGAAGCAUCUUGGUUAGGGCAACUUUGAAGUUCAAUUCCAAAUGGUCGUUGAGAAGAAUCCUUUGCAGAUGACAUAAAUACUCGAUGGGGUAUUGUAAGUGGUAGAGUGGCCUUGCUACCACGAUCCACUAAGAUUUAGC
Molecule: ribosomal RNA, 3385 nt
Filed under: Pinus taeda (loblolly pine)
Lineage: Eukaryota; Viridiplantae; Streptophyta; Pinopsida; Pinales; Pinaceae
Description: eukaryotic LSU rRNA
Rfam family: Eukaryotic large subunit ribosomal RNA
Source: RNAcentral